UCCGCUAGUAGUGGCGAGCGAACGCGGAAGAGGCCAAACCGGAGGUAGCAAUAUUUCCGGGGUUAGGACUGCAAUAUGUAACUUUAAUCUUUAACUGAAUGCUUUGGGAAGAGCAGCAAUAUAGGGUGAUAGCCCCGUAAGUGAAAAGGAUUGAGUGCUAGCAGUAUCCAGAGUACCAGCGGACACGUGAAACCCGCUGGGAAGAUGGGGGGACCAUCCUCCAAGCCUAAAUACUACUCAGUGACCGAUAGUGGAGCAGUACCGUGAGGGAAAGGUGAAAAGUACCCCGGGAGGGGAGUGAAAAAGAACCUGAAACCUUGUGCCUACAAGCACCGAGAGCACGUUAAAGUGUGAUCGGGUACUUUUUGUAGAACGGUCCGGCGAGUUAAUAUUUGCAGCGAGGUUAAGGAACUGGAGUUCCGGAGCCGCAGCGAGAGCGAGUCUGAAAAGGGCGUAUGAAGUUGCAGGUAUUAGACCCGAAACCGGGUGACCUAUCCAUGAGCAGGCUGAAGCGGUGGUAAGACACCGUGGAGGGCCGCACCCACGUCUGUUGAAAAAGCCGGGGAUGACUUGUGGAUAGCGGAGAAAUUCCAAUCGAACUCGGAGAUAGCUGGUUCUCCCCGAAAUAGCUUUAGGGCUAGCGUUAUUUUAGAUUACCGGAGGUAAAGCACUGAAUGGUCUAGGGGCCGCGAGGUUACCAAAGCCUAUCAAACUCUGAAUGCCGGAUAAUUGAUGAAUAGCAGUCAGACUGUGUGAGAUAAGUCUCAUAGUCAAAAGGGAAACAGCCCAGAUCUACAGCUAAGGUCCCAAAUGAACACUAAGUGGAAAAUGAUGUGAAACUGCGAAGACAACCAGGAUGUUGGCUUAGAAGCAGCCACUCAUUCAAAGAGUGCGUAAUAGCUCACUGGUCGAGUGGUUUUGCGCAGAAAAUGUAACGGGGCUAAGUGUUCAACCGAAGCUUAGGCAUUGCAGUAAUGCAUUGGGUAGGGGAGCGUCGUAUGCGGGGCGAAGUCAGAGCGGAAGCACUGGUGGACUGCAUACGAGUGAGAAUGCCGGAAUAAGUAGCGAGAAUUAUGUGAGAAUCAUAAUGGCCGAAAAUCUAAGGUUUCUUGGGGAAGGUUCGUCCGCCCAAGGUUAGUCGGGAGCUAAGCUCAGGCCGAAAGGCGUAGGCGAUGCACAUACGGUAGAAAUUCCGUAACCACCGAACAUUUAAGCUAGAGGGACGCUUUCUUUAAGUCUAUCCCGGGCGAUGGUUGCCCCGGGCGUAAGGGACCGAAAUUUAGUAGGGAAGUAGAUGGCGAGAGAGACGAGAAAAGCUCUAGUGUAUACUAAGGUGCCCGUACCGCAAACCGACACAGGUAGAUGGGAUGAGUAUUCUAAGGCCAACGGGAGAAGGGUUGUUAAGGAACUCGGCAAAUUGGCCCCGUAACUUCGGGAUAAGGGGCGCCUGCGAGAGCAGGCCGCAGUGAAAAGGCCCAAGCGACUGUUUAGCAAAAACACAGCUCUCUGCUAAAUCGAAAGAUGACGUAUAGGGGGUGACGCCUGCCCGGUGCUGGAAGGUUAAGGGGAGUGCUUAGCGCAAGCGAAGGUGCGAACUUAAGCCCCAGUAAACGGCGGCCGUAACUAUAACGGUCCUAAGGUAGCGAAAUUCCUUGUCAGGUAAGUUCUGACCCGCACGAAUGGCGUAACGAUUUGGGCACUGUCUCAACAGCCCGCCCGGCGAAAUUGUAGUACCGGUGAAGAUGCCGGUUUCCCGCAACUAGACGGAAAGACCCCAUGGAGCUUCACUGUAGCUUGAUAUUGGAUCUCGGUAUUCCAUGUACAGGAUAGGUGGGAGACUUGGAAGUAAGCGCGCCAGCGUUUAUGGAGUCAACCUUGGGAUACCACUCUUGGGAUAUUGGGAUUCUAACCUGCGACCAUGAAUCUGGUCGGGGGACACUGUCAGGUGGGCAGUUUGACUGGGGCGGUCGCCUCCAAAAGAGUAACGGAGGCGCUCAAAGGUUCGUUCAGCACGGAUGGAAAUCGUGCACUGAGUGUAAACGCAUAAACGAGCCUAACUGCGAGAAUGACGGUUCGAGCAGUAACGAAAGUUGGAGUUAGUGAUCCGGCGGUAUGUGAAUGGAAAUGC
This 2128-nucleotide ribosomal RNA is filed under the name human gut metagenome. RNAcentral describes it as "bacterial LSU rRNA". It matches the Rfam family "Bacterial large subunit ribosomal RNA", at positions 236 to 2442 of the family's 2925-position model. The record is from RNAcentral.